UCGGGAAUUUUGGGCAAUGGGCGAAAGCCUGACCCAGCAACGCCGCGUGAAGGAUGAAGUAUUUCGGUAUGUAAACUUCGAAAGAAUAGGAAGAAUAAAUGACGGUACUAUUUAUAAGGUCCGGCUAACUACGUGCCAGCAGCCGCGGUAAUACGUAGGGACCAAGCGUUGUUCGGAUUUACUGGGCGUAAAGGGCGCGUAGGCGGCAAUUCAAGUCAUCUGUGAAAUCUCCGGGCUUAACUCGGAACGGUCAGAUGAUACUGCUUUGCUAGAGUGCAGAAGGGGCAAUCGGAAUUCUUGGUGUAGCGGUGAAAUGCGUAGAUAUCAAGAGGAACACCUGAGGUGAAGACGGGUUGCUGGGCUGACACUGACGCUGAGGCGCGAAAGCCAGGGGAGCAAACAGGAUUAGAUACCCUAGUAGUCCCUGAGCGGGCUGGCAAGGCGCAU
RNAcentral lists this ribosomal RNA (447 nucleotides) under uncultured bacterium. RNAcentral describes it as "bacterial SSU rRNA". It matches the Rfam family "Bacterial small subunit ribosomal RNA", at positions 355 to 825 of the family's 1533-position model. The record is from RNAcentral.